RNAcentral lists this ribosomal RNA (119 nucleotides) under Pteropus alecto (black flying fox). Lineage: Eukaryota; Metazoa; Chordata; Mammalia; Chiroptera; Pteropodidae. The record is from RNAcentral.
AUCUAUGGCCAUGCCACCCUGAAUGUGCCCAAUCUUGUCUGAUCUCGGAAGCUAAGCAGGGUUGGGCCUGGUUAGUACUUGAAUGGGAGACCACCUGGGAAGAACAGGUGCUAUAGGCA